RNAcentral lists this ribosomal RNA (142 nucleotides) under Vibrio parahaemolyticus. RNAcentral's name for it is "partial 16S ribosomal RNA". It matches the Rfam family "Bacterial small subunit ribosomal RNA", at positions 1 to 122 of the family's 1533-position model. Lineage: Bacteria; Pseudomonadati; Pseudomonadota; Gammaproteobacteria; Vibrionales; Vibrionaceae. The record is from RNAcentral.
CUUAAAUUGAAGAGUUUGAUCAUGGCUCAGAUUGAACGCUGGCGGCAGGCCUAACACAUGCAAGUCGAGCGGAAACGAGUUAUCUGAACCUUCGGGGRACGAUAACGGCGUCGAGCGGCGGACGGGUGAGUAAUGCCUAGGA